GUUUAAAUGGCUUAUAUUUAGAGCGUAAUACUGAAGAUAUUGAGGAAAUUGACUUAUUUUUAAAUA
This 66-nucleotide transfer RNA is filed under the name Bombus lantschouensis. RNAcentral describes it as "tRNA-Phe". Lineage: Eukaryota; Metazoa; Arthropoda; Insecta; Hymenoptera; Apidae. The record is from RNAcentral.